RNAcentral lists this long non-coding RNA (2866 nucleotides) under Sus scrofa (pig). Its description in RNAcentral is "lncRNA (ENSSSCG00060000165.1)". The record is from RNAcentral. Lineage: Eukaryota; Metazoa; Chordata; Mammalia; Artiodactyla; Suidae.
UUUUUUUUUUUUUUGGUUUUUAGGGCCUCACCCAUGGCAUAUGGAGGUUCCCAGGCUAGGGGUCGAAUAGGAGCUACAGCUGCCAGCCUACACCACAGCCACAGCAAUGCAGGAUCUGAGCUGCGUCUGCAACUCACACCACAGCUCUCGGCAAUGACAUACCCUUAACUCACCGAGCAAGGCCAGGGAUCGAACCUGCAACCUCAUGGUUCCUAGUCGGAUUCAUUUCCGCUUCGCCAUGACGGGAACUCCAAGAAACAGUAAAUAUUUUGCUAGUAAGCAACACUCCAAAUAUUAUAGUUAAUGAAAAGCCAAUGAAAAAUAACUCAACCAUUAAGCUCAAAAUAGCAAUAAACUAUUUAUAGUAAUAUCUUAUAAUUUGUAAUCUGUCAUUACAGUAUUAAAAAAACAUUUUCUAAAACUUCCAAAAAUUUGGAAAUAACUGUGACAUUAGCUCUUACUGUAUCAUCAGAUGAGAAGCUAUCUAUAUCCUUAUGAGUCCUAAGAACCUGGGAAGCUUACAUUAUUUGGAAAAAGGGCCUUUGCAGAUAUGACUAAAUUAAGGAUUCUGUGAUGGGGAGAUUAUCCUGGAUCAACAGGGGGGCCCUCAAGUGCCAUCAUAUGUGUCCUUAUAAGAGAGAGGCAAAAAAGAGAUUUCUCUCUCUCUCUUUCACACCCAAGAAAAGGUGCUGAGAAGACUAGAACUGAGGAAGGUUUGAAAUUCUGCUCUUGAAGACUGGAGUGAUGCAACCAGAAACCAAGGAAUUCUGGCAGCCAUCAGAAACUACAGAAGCAGCGAGGGAUACAGUCUCUUCUGGAGCCUUUGUCUUUUCAUUUUAUCUUUUCAGUGUCUGCACCUGCAGCACACGGCAGUUCCCAAGCUAGGGUCGAAUCAGAGCUGUAGUUGCUGGCCUAUGCCACAGCAACUCGGGAUCUGAGCCAAGUCUGUGACCUACACCACGGCUCACAGCAACACUGGAUCUCCAACCCACUGAGCUGAGGCCAGGGAUCAAACCCGAAUCCUCGUGCAUCUUAGUUGGGUUCGUAACUGCUGAGCCACAAUGGGAACUCCCUCUUCUGCAGCCUUUGGAGGGAGCACCCUGACUUUGGCCCAAUGAUACUGAUUUCAGAUGUCUGGCCUCCAAAACUGUGAGAGAAUAAACUUUUUUUUUCCCCCCACCUUUUAGGGCUGUGCCCACAGCAUAUGGAGGUUCCCAGGCUAGGGGUUGAAUUGGAGCUCCUGUAGCCUGGGAACUUCCAUAUAUCGUGGGUGUGGCCCUAAAUAAAUAAAUGAAAAUACAUUUUCAGAUAGUGAUAAAUGGUUUGCAGAAAAAAAAAAUUAAGGUAAUGGGAUAGAGGGAAAAGAGGAUGGUGCCACACUGACAGGGUGGUUAGAUAAUAAUCCUUCUCUGAGAAGAUAACUGAAUUGAAACCUGAAAUGAUGAAAAGGAGCCAGGUUUUAGGAAGAGAAUUCUGGGCAGAGAGAACAGUCCUAGGUCAGGAGUAAGCCAUGACACUUUGGGGCGGUGGGGGGGGCGGGGGGGGAGGACAGUGUAGAUGGAGUAUAGUGACAAGAGAGAAUGCUAAAGAAGUGGUAAAGGAGUAAUUGAUUUAAGAGGAAAAGGUGUAAAAUGGUAGAUCAUAUACAGGAAGGCAGUGGAAAGGAUUUGAGAAUAACUUGAGCUUUACGGUAAACUCACUACAUUGUCUUUCUCAUUUUGCUUUGCAUCAGUCGUAACUUUAACAGACUCUUAGAAACUAUUCUCCAAGCAUUAACACAAUGUUGAGGUUAGCCAGGAAUGAAUAUUUCCUAAGCAGAAGAGAACUCUUCUUGUAGAUUAUAAUUUUUUUUAAGGAAAAAAAUGCAAAGCCAUCUUAUACAAGAAGAAUCUGGGAUGACAGGAUGAUAUAAAUGACUUCAAAUUCUAUCCUGCUUACUAUAUACUGUGAAUGAAUCUACUAAAAUCAAAACUGUAUGAAGUUGUUAAAGAAGAAUUUAAGAUCUUUCCAAGCUACUGUAAACCUAACAUCCUUUGUUUGCUGAGUUCACUGUUACUGAACUGGACAUUAACAAUGUCAAAUACUGUCAGAAGAGAAAAUUAGAAACUAAACUUAUUUCUGACUUUACUGUACCUCCUGAGAAUAGAUACAGCUUAACGAUCAACAAAGCUGCCAGUUCUAAUCUUAUCUCUUUUAUUACAAUAAGGAAGAACUUCCCCUCGGUGGCGAAAUUAGGUACAAGGGAUGCUUGUACCAGUAUCUCUUUCUCUGAAAGCUUUUUAAAAUAGGAGACUAAUCAAUCAGCUUAAAGAGGUCUGAAUACAGUACACGUUGCAGAAGAGCAGUGUUCUCUCUAGAUCUUUCCAGACCACUAAUAUUUAUGUACACAAAGCACGUAACGGAAACCUGCAUGGCUUCUAAGAUUAAUAUCAGUAGAGUAAGAUCUUUGAAAGCUCUAAUUUAUUUAUGAAUCUCAUUUUUCACUAUGUUAGAUAUUUAGUUAGCCCACAGAGCUGUAGACCAGAAAGUAGACGGCGAAUAACACAAUCCAUAAAGAGUGGUAUUUUGUGAGUGUGCUGUGAGUUAAAGACAUAAAAGUCAUUUAGACGCCUUGAUCAAGACUUGAUUCUGAGUGCAUCCUCCUCAACACACUUCCAGCAGUUUGGCAAAGUGCCCAGGGAUGAUUAGCAGCCAUGUAUGGGGGGGGGAGAGCAAUACAGGGCUGUCAACCUAAAUUGUAAAGUCUCCCCCCAGUGGUCACAUACAAACAACAGGAAGACUAGGGAAAUCAUUGCAGCUUCUGUGAGACUGACCAAAAAUACUCUAUGCAGAACCUGGUCCCUACAACGGGAAAAAAAAAAAAAAA